UGAAAACAAACAUAGCACAAUCAUAAUCAGAUGAUAUUAGUAAAAGAUCCGUAUGUUCUCAGAUAGAUAGGAUUACAAAAAGGAACUGUAAAACUGUCCAUGGAACUAUCAAAAUGCAACACAUGAUAGAAAUCAUAAGCAGGGGAGAAAAAAAUAUACUUACCAUCUGUAUUAGCACAGCUUACUCCAACCAAAAGGCUUAGCGACACA
RNAcentral lists this unclassified non-coding RNA (210 nucleotides) under Hevea brasiliensis (rubber tree). Lineage: Eukaryota; Viridiplantae; Streptophyta; Magnoliopsida; Malpighiales; Euphorbiaceae. The record is from RNAcentral.